CGUAAGCGCCAAAGGAAUUGAAAAUGGAGGUUAUCUACGAGUGCAUAAUGAAAAAUUUCGCUCCAGAUGGGAUUGAAACUUCAUCCAAUGUUCAAGGGAACAUGGAUUGACAAUUCACUGCACUUAUAAUCACCAUUUUCACUUCACAAAGCACUGAUUCAUCACUUUGUUAGAUGCACUAGACCAACCUUAAAUGCAGAACCAGCUGACGCACUAAGCAUCCAAAAGACGAAGUCACAUCCAAGAAGACUCGUUGACAACGAAACCUCGAUGUCAAUAAGCAACAGCGAGCAAGCAAACAAGCCGCAAGCAAGCAAGUCAUAAGCCAGCAGUAUCUUCAUUGCCUGUAACCAGCCAUAGAAGAAAUCAAAGCGAAAUCCAGCAUAACAAAAACACUUUAUUGGGUUAUGUGAACUAAAGUCAAGUCCAGGAUAAUCUAAACAGUGGGCUCCGUGCCAAACUAUUUAAGCAUGUAGUGUCAUAAUAAAGUAACUAAAUAACUUG
This is a long non-coding RNA of Cydia fagiglandana, 504 nucleotides long. RefSeq lists it as uncharacterized. Lineage: Eukaryota; Metazoa; Arthropoda; Insecta; Lepidoptera; Tortricidae. The record is from RefSeq and is a predicted model, not a curated record. The transcript has 2 exons.